UAGAAGAGUGGGAGUGUGGUUAAUAGAGGGUGAAGCCCCACCCCCAAUAUGUGAGGACAUGGGGGGGGUGUUAAACACUGUGUCACCCCCCCCCAGUACGCCCAGGCCUUGGCUGAAUUCAUCCGGAGCCAAAGCAUCCGAGAGCUCAAAGUGUGGACCAGCCAGCUGAAGAGAACAAUCCAGACGGCUGAAGCUCUGGGGGUGCCCUAUGAGCAGUGGAAGGCCCUCAAUGAGAUAGAUGCGGUGAGGGAUUUAAGGGGGGGGGUCUCCAAAUAGCCCCCUGUACCAUUUAAAUGCCCUCAAUGAGUGUCAGUCUGGAAGGGGGGGGGUCUCCAAAUAGCCCCCUGUACCAUUUAAAGGCCAUCAAUGAGAUCUAUGUAUUGUCAGCCUGGGAGAGGGGGGGUCUCCAAAUAGCCCCCUGUAGCUCCUAAAGGCCCUCAAUGAGUGUCAGUCUGGAAGGGGGGGGGGUCUCCAAAUAGCCCCCUGUAGCUCCUAAAGGCCCCAAUGAGUGGUGUGGGGAUGGUAGGGGUCCGAUGCUGUCAGGGUGUGCAGUGUGUUCUGUGGGUUAUAUU
RNAcentral lists this long non-coding RNA (572 nucleotides) under Coturnix japonica (Japanese quail). RNAcentral's name for it is "lncRNA (ENSCJPG00005002827.1)". Lineage: Eukaryota; Metazoa; Chordata; Aves; Galliformes; Phasianidae. The record is from RNAcentral.